UGGGGAAUAUUGGACAAUGGGGGCAACCCUGAUCCAGCGAUGCCGCGUGUGCGAAGAAGGCCUGCGGGUUGUAAAGCACUUUAGGUGGGGAAGAAAGGUUUGGCGUUAAUAGCGCUGGAUUUUGACGUUACCCACAGAAUAAGCACCGGCUAACUCUGUGCCAGCAGCCGCGGUAAUACAGAGGGUGCGAGCGUUAAUCGGAAUGACUGGGCGUAAAGGGCGCGUAGGCGGUUAAUUAAGAUAGCUGUGAAAGACCAAAGCUCAACUUUGGAAGUGCAGUUAAGACUGGUUGACUAGAGUAGAGGAGAGGAGAGUGGAAUUUCCGGAGUAGCGGUGAAAUGCGUAGAUAUCGGAAAGAACAUUCGUGGCGAAGGCGGCUCUCUGGUCUCAUACUGACGCUGAGGCGCGAAAGCGUGGGGAGCAAACAG
Molecule: ribosomal RNA, 428 nt
Filed under: uncultured bacterium
Lineage: Bacteria
Description: bacterial SSU rRNA
Rfam family: Bacterial small subunit ribosomal RNA
Source: RNAcentral